GCCAGGCAUGGUGAUGCAUGCCUGUAGUUCCAGCUGCUCGGGAGGCUGAGACAGGAGAAUUGCUUGAACUCGGGAUGUUGAGGUUGCAGUGAGCCGAGAUUGUGCCACUGCACUCCAGCCUGGGUGACAGAGUGAGACUCUGUCUCAA
Unclassified non-coding RNA from Papio anubis (olive baboon), 148 nucleotides. It matches the Rfam family "Metazoan signal recognition particle RNA". Rfam says of the family: The signal recognition particle (SRP) is a universally conserved ribonucleoprotein. It is involved in the co-translational targeting of proteins to membranes. Lineage: Eukaryota; Metazoa; Chordata; Mammalia; Primates; Cercopithecidae. The record is from Ensembl.